Molecule: long non-coding RNA, 2223 nt
Organism: Melospiza melodia melodia
Lineage: Eukaryota; Metazoa; Chordata; Aves; Passeriformes; Passerellidae
Exons: 2
Source: RefSeq, a predicted model, not a curated record
AGGCGCAUCUGGAGCGCUGUGCCCAGGGCUGGGCACUGAGGGCGAGAUGGGCAAGGAGCGGCUGGAGAGGGUCCUGUGAGGGGACACCCAGAGGAUUUGGGGCUGGAGCAGCUCUCUGAUGAGGAGACACUGCGGAGCUGGGCCGGGUCAGUCUGGAGAAGGGGAGGCUGAGAGGAAAUCUCAGCAAUCCAUGUCAAUAUCCAUGUCAAUAUCCAUGUCAAUAUCUCCCCGGCGUGUCCGAGGAUGGUGCCAAACUCUCUUCAGUGGUGCCCGGUGACAGGAUGAAAAGCAAUGGACAUAAACUAAAACAUAAAAAGUUUCCUCGCAACAGGAGGAAGAACUUCUUUGUGUUGAGGGUGGCUGAGCUCUGGAACAGGUGCCGAGGGAGGGUGUGGAGUUUCCCUCUCUGGAAACAUUCCAAACCCACCUGUGUCACCUGCUCCAGGUGACCCUGCCCUGGCAGGAGGGUUGGGCAGGAUGAUCUCCAGAGAUCCCCUCCGACCCCAACUAAUUAUGAUUCUGUGAAAAAAAACCUGUGAAAAGGCCCCAAAAUCUCAUGUGAAAUCCCGUACCUCUUUAGAAGGGCCACCCAAGUUGUUUUCCCACAGAUCUGACUCUGCAGGGGUCUCAGAGCCUCUGGACCCUGGAUGCUUGCAGAGAUGGACAGGGAAGAAGAGAUCUUUGUGGGAUCAGCUGUGUGCACAGCCAGGAAUCUGUCACCCUGCUUGCACAAAGGACUUCACUUCCUUAAAAAUGCUCUCAGCGUACACAGAACUCCAUAACAAAACCAACCAUAGAGUCCAGUGACAGUUGACAAAAUAUUUUAUUGACCUAUUUUUGUGCACCAUUUAGUACAAAGAUGGAGUUAAACCACCAAAUCCUCCAGCAGGCACUGAGAGUUCUCUGAGCUAAGAGCAGACCGUGGUGCUGAAGAUAUUUAGUUUUUCAUACCUUCUCCAGUUCACCUUGGGGAUAAAGAAGGUCAAGGCAGCAGCUUGAGGUCAGGGUGUUUUGGUCAAAGGUCUGUGGUUGCUCCCACUCGACAACAGGAGAACACACAAUUGCAAUUCUGUGCUGUAGCCUCCUGCUCAGGGCAACCAUCUGGACACAGAGCAGCUUGUUUAUACUGACUCCUCCCUUGUGACAAAUCCAAACACACUCCUUGUCUCCUGUGCCAUAUUCAAGGUCUCUGGCAGACCUGCAUUUUUCAUCUUCUAACAAUAGCUUCCAAAAUGGAGCACUUCAUCCAGCCCUGCGGGAUCCUCCAUCUCUGCUGUGCCAGGCUGUUCCUACAUCACUAAUUCUUAGUCAGGAGACUGAGCUCAAACCAUUUCUAUUGGAUUUCUCCAUCAAUCACUCAGUUUGCAGGUACUGAGACUGGUUGUGCUGCGCACACACCCACACAGGAGAGAGAAAUUCUCGUGCUGAGGCAAAUCCAAGGUCACAUCUGUUGAACUCCGUGGAAUUUCUCCAGGUUUAUCUCAGUAAUGGAGAUCAGCCUCUCACCGAGGUGAUAUAACCCCCUCUGGGCUCCCACGGACUGGAGGAAAGGGAGGAAAUGAAGCUGUCAGCACAGGCCAAGCAGCCCAAGAGAAAUUUGUUACAAAACCCAAUACCAACCAUUCUUCACUGUAAAAGUUCCUCCCUUCUGGGUCUGACUGCAGCAUCCUGGAUAAUCUCUCCUACCAUGGCAGGGCUGAAGCAGAGUAAACUCCAGAAGACAACCAUGGGUCCACAAUAGUGAGAAAAACCUUCACCAAAUUAGGCAAAAGUCAUUCCAAACAUGCAAUAGAAUCACAGAACUGUUUGGAUUGGAAGAGACCCUAAAGACAAUCAUGUUCCACACCCCUGCCACAGGCAGGGACAUCUUCCAGGUUGCUCCAAGCCCUAUCUAACCUGUCCUUGAACACUUCUAGAGCUAUGCUGUGGACACUAAAGGCUGUAAAUGUGCUCUUCCUGCCUUGCCUGAGAUCUGUGCAGAGGAAUGCACUUACUUUUUAUUUAACAGACCAGACAACACUCACCAGGAAGGGUGAGUUACCAACCCCACCUCUGAGCACAGCUGCAGCAUGUGUUAACCCUGGAGGAGGCAGCACAGGAGGUGCUACAGCUGCUUUACAGUGUCAGACACUGGUGAGCAAAGAAAUCAGGUUGGUCUGAGCUGUUUUAGUACCUGCAUGGGCCUUUUAGUUCCCCAUAGAAAAAUGAACAAUUACUAGGUUA